GUUAACGGUCCGUUUCCGGGGCGGAGCCAGGGAGGGCGGGGAGUUUAGGCUGUGCCGACCCCUGAGCCCCCCUUCAGGAACCGUUCGGAGCCCCGGACAUGUCGCGAUUGAGGAGAUACGAGGUGGCGCUGGAAGCGGAGGAGGAGAUCUACUGGGGCUGCUUCUACUUUUUUCCUUGGCUGCGAAUGUGGCGCAGGGAGCGGAGGUGAGGGGGCUGCGAUCUCGUGGGGGCAUGAACGAGGUUCAGUGUCGGUGGACGGAUGUGGGGGAGUCCAGGCGCCCCUGCCCCGCCUCAUGUCAUUGUCGGGUCGCCCUACAGCUCGGCGCACCCCCGGGAGCAGAAGCUGGAGCCUCUGCGGGGCCUAAUGAGCUGUUUGUCGAGCGGCCUGAGGCCUGCUCCCCAGCGCUCGGGUCGUGGUCUCCUCUGUCGCACCCCCACCGCUGCUGCACAGACAGCCGGUGCAUUAAAGAUUUAAAGUCACGCCCACUGCCUCCCUGACUUUAGCGCCGCAGCCGCCUUUGGUGCUGGGAAUCCCACUCCACACCUGCUGUUUGUUAACCCACAGGGCAUCCCUCCCUGGUAGGAAGCCUUUGCAUGUGUAGGACUCCAUUGCUCCUAAGGGUCAGGCUUGUAAUUACUAUCAGUGACUGGCUCUCUGCCACGCCCUCCCCAAAAGCACCCACACUGAGAGUAGGCCACAUCUUUCCCCCACUUAUCAGUGUUCCCACAACUUCAGCUGUUACCACCUAACUCUAGCCAUAACUUUGCCAGAUGUCUGGAGAAUCCUCUUUUCCUGGGAGUGGAUAUAAAACAUUUUAGCCAAAGUUGAGGAGUCUGCUGUCAGUGAGAGGAAGGACCAGUUUCUAGAAGCUGUCUCCAGCAGUGUACCCCAGGAGAGUGACAAGGGUUGAGGGUCCAAGGUCCUUUCUAUAGUUAAAACCCCAAACUGGCUCCCCCAAUCUGAUCCCAAUUUUUUGUUUUUGUAUUUAAUUUUUUAAGUGUGUGUGUGUUUGUAAUGUGUGUGUGUGCCCACCACAAUGCAUGUGCAUGCAGAGAUCAGAGGAUAUGACCCUUUGUGAGGGUUUUUUCAUCCAUAUGGCUUCCCGGGAUGGAAUUCAGGGUUUCAGGCUUGGCACCAUGGCCAUCCUGCCAGCCCCAUCACCGUUUUAAAAAGUCCUUGGUAUCAGCAAGAACUAGCAGUUUGCUAAGAAUCCUGCUACCCUAACCCCAUGAUUACUUUGUCCACCGAAAUCACUCUGGAACCCGUUAACCCUUACAGUGGGUGAGAGUCAGACUGUCCUCAUAGUGUCCACCACAUAGACACACUGACUCCCAUUCCAGAACAGGCACCUGAGGAUUAUGCUAUGGAGACAGCCUGGAUCCUGGCUGAGCUCAAAGCUGACUUUUAGCCUGGCACUGCCUCUGUCAUAGCACACUGUGCUGGAAAAGAGGACUUGGCCUCCAUAUCUUUGGAGAAGCCAAAAUUAGGAGAGAAGGAAGCCAGGAAAAUGUUUCUGCCUUCCAAAGAUCUCUGGAUUGACAAACCCAGGGGAGCUCACAUGGCAAGCAGUGUAGACAGGAUGGUGGAGUGGGGUGAGCGGGGCAGGCGAGGUGAAUUUCCUUAGAAUUUCUUUUUUGGUGAAACACCCAAGCCCUGGGACAAAGAUCUAGACCGGGCGUAAGAGAGAAGCUUCGGGUACCAAAACUUGAGGAUGCAUGGCCUCUGGCUCGUGGGUGACCUUCAAGUGUGCAAACUUUUAGCCAUUCCCUCACAAUUUCUGCAUCGAAGACACCUUCAAAUGCUUUGACUAGCCCUGGGUCCACAUCUUCCCAGACUGUCAUAAGACCUCUGAGAAAAUGUCCAAAAGGUGCCUAUGAGUCUUAACCCUGGUCAGGAGGAAGCAAGGCCUUUUCAGUUUAGCCAAAGAAACUGCUCGGAGGCAGUGGAAGUCCUAUCCCAAGAUCUCUACUCCAGAGGAUGGCUGGCCUCAGAGCAGGAAAUUCAGUCUCCAGAUAAGGGAUGGAUUCUUGGUGUUAUGACUCGGUUUAUAUUUUAAAUCCAGAGCAGAACUUGAGAAUUGAAAUCCCCAGAUUAGGAGCCUAGGCCAUUAGCCCAAUAAACACACCCCUACUCUAGGCCGUUUACAACUUUCCAGAAAGCAUUGACUCAAAAUGAAUAGGAAUUUUGCAUACAGAUCCAGGUAUACCCCAAGGCCCCACUGCAAUAAAUUUGGAUUUCCACAUUGAUUCCACCGAACCAUAUUAGUACAUACUUAUUUCUGAUGGAAGGAAGCGUAGGGUGGGUACAGGUGUUUGGGGUUUGGGGAAAUGGGUAUUUCUGAAGCUGGGUUCGGAAGGGUAUGUUCCUUCAAGCCCAGAAUGGAAAGACGGUAGAAUUUGAAUCAAACGAGACGACCUAACUUUGUUCUUGAGUCCGAUGUCUCCAACAAGCCAGAGACUAAGUCUGGAAGCCCCCAGCCUCCCACUGAGAAGCUGGCAUCCGUGGAACAAGACUAAGCAGAAGCAAGAAGCCUUGCCUCUGCCCUCCAGCACUAGCUGCUGUACUCAGCUCUAUAGACAGCCACUCCCAAGCAGGCUGCUGAGGAGGAUUGUCCACAUGGAACUGCAGGAGGCCGAUGGGGACUGUCACCUCCAGGCUGUCGUGCUUCACCUGGCUCGGCGCAGUGUCUGUGUUCAUCCCCAGAACCGCAGCCUGGCUCGGUGGUUAGAACGCCAAGGGAAAAGGCUCCAAGGGACUGUACCCAGUUUAAAUCUGGUACUACAAAAGAAAAUGUACUCAAACCCCCAACAGCAAAACUAAUAAAGCAACAUUAGACGACAAUCUCCAAAAA
Mus musculus (house mouse) is the source of this 2853-nucleotide RNA transcript. It is a transcript of the gene named C-C motif chemokine ligand 27A, with no coding region annotated. Lineage: Eukaryota; Metazoa; Chordata; Mammalia; Rodentia; Muridae. The transcript has 5 exons. The record is from RefSeq and is marked validated.